GCACUCUGCUAACUCGUAAGAGGAUGUAUAGGGUGUGACGCCUGCCCGGUGCUCGAAGGUUAAUUGAUGGGGUUAGCAUUAGCGAAGCUCUUGAUCGAAGCCCGAGUAAACGGCGGCCGUAACUAUAACGGUCCUAAGGUAGCGAAAUUCCUUGUCGGUUAAAUACCGACCUGCAUGAAUGGCGUAACGAGAUGGGAGCUGUCUCAAAGAGGGAUCCAGUGAAAUUGUAGUGGAGGUGAAAAUUCCUCCUACCCGCGGCAAGACGGAAAGACCCCGUGGACCUUUACUACAGCUUGACACUGCUACUUGGAUAAGAAUGUGCAGGAUAGGUGGGAGGCUUUGAGUAUAUGACGCCAGUUGUAUAUGAGCCAUUGUUGAGAUACCACUCUUUCUUAUUUGGGUAGCUAACCAGCUUGAGUUAUCCUCAAGUGGGACAAUGUCUGGUGGGUAGUUUGACUGGGGCGGUCGCCUCCCAAAUAAUAACGGAGGCUUACAAAGGUUGGCUCAGAACGGUUGGAAAUCGUUCGUAGAGUAUAAAGGUAUAAGCCAGCUUAACUGCAAGACAUACAAGUCAAGCAGAGACGAAAGUCGGUCUUAGUGAUCCGGUGGUUCUGUGUGGAAGGGCCAUCGCUCAAAGGAUAAAAGGUACCCCGGGGAUAACAGGCUGAUCUCCCCCAAGAGCUCACAUCGACGGGGAGGUUUGGCACCUCGAUGUCGGCUCAUCGCAUCCUGGGGCUGGAGCAGGUCCCAAGGGUAUGGCUGUUCGCCAUUUAAAGCGGUACGCGAGCUGGGUUCAGAACGUCGUGAGACAGUUCGGUCCCUAUCUGCCGUGGGCGUAAGAAGAUUGAAGAGAUUUGACCCUAGUACGAGAGGACCGGGUUGAACAAACCACUGGUGUAGCUGUUGUUCUGCCAAGAGCAUCGCAGCGUAGCUAAGUUUGGAAAGGAUAAACGCUGAAAGCAUCUAAGCGUGAAGCCAACUCUAAGAUGAAUCUUCUCUAAGCUCUCUAGAAGACUACUAGUUUGAUAGGCUGGGUGUGUAAUGGAUGAAAGUCCUUUAGCUGACCAGUACUAAUAGAGCGUUUGGCUUAUCUUU
This 1095-nucleotide ribosomal RNA is filed under the name Campylobacter jejuni. RNAcentral describes it as "partial 23S ribosomal RNA". It matches the Rfam family "Bacterial large subunit ribosomal RNA", at positions 1816 to 2925 of the family's 2925-position model. Lineage: Bacteria; Pseudomonadati; Campylobacterota; Epsilonproteobacteria; Campylobacterales; Campylobacteraceae. The record is from RNAcentral.